UAUACCGUGAAACUGCGAAUGGCUCAUUAAAUCAGUUAUCGUUUAUUUGAUAGUACCUUACUACUUGGAUAACCGUGGUAAUUCUAGAGCUAAUACAUGCUAAAAACCCCAACUUCGGGAGGGGUGUAUUUAUUAGAUAAAAAACCAAUGCCCUUCGGGGCUCCUUGGUGAUUCAUGAUAACUUCUCAGAUCGCAUAGCCUUGUGCUGGCGACGGUUCAUUCAAAUUUCUGCCCUAUCAACUUUCGAUGGUAAGGUAGUGGCUUACCAUGGUUUCAACGGGUAACGGGGAAUUAGGGUUCGAUUCCGGAGAGGGAGCCUGAGAAACGGCUACCACAUCCAAGGAAGGCAGCAGGCGCGCAAAUUACCCAAUUCCGAUGCGGAGAGGUAGUGACAAUAAAUACUGAUACAGGGCUCUUUUGGGUCUUGUAAUUGGAAUGAGUACAAUUUAAACCUCUUAACGAGGAACAAUUGGAGGGCAAGUCUGGUGCCAGCAGCCGCGGUAAUUCCAGCUCCAAUAGCGUAUAUUAAAGUUGUUGCAGUUAAAAAGCUCGUAGUUGAACCUUUGGCCUGGCUGGCAGGUCCGCCUCACCGCGUGCACUUGUCCGGCCGGGCCUUUUCUUCUGGAGAACCGCAUGCCCUUCACUGGGUGUGUUGGGGACCAGGACUUUUACUUUGAAAAAAUUAGAGUGUUCAAAGCAGGCCUUUGCUCGAAUACGUUAGCAUGGAAUAAUAGAAUAGGACGUGCGGUCCUAUUUUGUUGGUUUCUAGGACCGCCGUAAUGAUUAAUAGGGACAGUCGGGGGCAUCAGUAUUCAAUUGUCAGAGGUGAAAUUCUUGGAUUUAUUGAAGACUAACUACUGCGAAAGCAUUUGCCAAGGAUGUUUUCAUUAAUCAGUGAACGAAAGUUAGGGGAUCGAAGACGAUCAGAUACCGUCGUAGUCUUAACCAUAAACUAUGCCGACUAGGGAUCGGGCGGUGUUUCUAUUGUGACCCGCUCGGCACCUUACGAGAAAUCAAAGU
RNAcentral lists this ribosomal RNA (1020 nucleotides) under Cyclothyrium sp. B14-3242. RNAcentral describes it as "SSU rRNA". It matches the Rfam family "Eukaryotic small subunit ribosomal RNA", at positions 75 to 1104 of the family's 1831-position model. Lineage: Eukaryota; Fungi; Ascomycota; Dothideomycetes. The record is from RNAcentral.